Molecule: long non-coding RNA, 224 nt
Filed under: Pan troglodytes (chimpanzee)
Lineage: Eukaryota; Metazoa; Chordata; Mammalia; Primates; Hominidae
Description: long non-coding RNA NONPTRT004809
Source: RNAcentral
GCGGGAAAGGGUUUCCUACCUGCUGCUGCAAGACAGGGAUUGGGAAAUCGGAGUGGACUCGGACUUGAAUCGGAUUGCCCCGGAAUCCAUCCUCUCUCUGUGAUAAGAAAAGAAGAUAAGGAUUUUUCACCAUGAAGAAAACAAUUGGUUUGAAAAGCACAAAGUAGGCCAGGCGCGGUGGCUCAUGCCUGUAAUCCCAGCAUUUUGGGAAGCCGAGGCGGGUG